Molecule: ribosomal RNA, 456 nt
Filed under: uncultured bacterium
Lineage: Bacteria
Description: partial 16S ribosomal RNA
Rfam family: Bacterial small subunit ribosomal RNA
Source: RNAcentral
CCUACGGGGGACAGCAGUGAGGAAUAUUGGUCAAUGGGCGCGAGCCUGAACCAGCCAAGUAGCGUGAAGGAUGACUGCCCUACGGGUUUUAAACUUCUUUUAUAAAGGAAUAAAGUGAGGCACGUGUGCCUUUUUGUAUGUACUUUAUGAAUAAGGAUCGGCUAACUCCGUGCCAGCAGCCGCGGUAAUACGGAGGAUCCGAUCGUUAUCCGGAUUUAUUGGGUUUAAAGGGAGCGUAGAUGGGUUGUUAAGUCAGUUGUGAAAGUUUGCGGCUCAACCGUAAAAUUGCAAUUGAUACUGGUAGUCUGGAGUACAGUGGAGGUAGGCGGAAUUCGUGGUGUAGCGGUGAAAUGCUUAGAUAUAACGAAGAACUCCGAUUGCGAAGGCAGCUUACUAAACUGCCACUGACAUUGAUGAUCGAAAGUGUGGGUAUCAAACAGGAUUAGAUAACUAGGC